This is a long non-coding RNA of Sphaeramia orbicularis (orbiculate cardinalfish), 165 nucleotides long. RefSeq lists it as uncharacterized. The transcript is spliced from 4 exons. Lineage: Eukaryota; Metazoa; Chordata; Actinopteri; Kurtiformes; Apogonidae. The record is from RefSeq and is a predicted model, not a curated record.
CAGGGUUUCAACGCAAGUACGGAAAAGUAUGGAAUUUGAGUUGAUAAAUUUCCAAGUCUGGAAAAGUAUGGAAAAUGGAAACAAAUGUAUGGAAAAAUAGUCAUGUUUCCCAGACUGUUCCCACUGGUCUAUUUUCUAAAACAUAAAAAACAAAAAUGGAUGGAU